Molecule: small nucleolar RNA, 83 nt
Filed under: Drosophila ananassae
Lineage: Eukaryota; Metazoa; Arthropoda; Insecta; Diptera; Drosophilidae
Description: snoRNA:GF26186
Source: RNAcentral
AAUGAUGUUAUCGCGUGUCAACUGUACGCCUCUUUUGAGACGUUAAUGAUGAUGGAAAAGCUUUAUGUUCGGACUACUGACAA